UUGUGGUUAAAAAGCUCGUAGUUGGAUCUCAACAGCCUUGAAGCGGUUAACUUUGUAGUUUUACUGCUUUAUAGGCUGUGCUUUUGCUGGAGGUUUAGGGGUGCUCUUGAUCGAGUGUCUCUGGAUGCCAGCAGGUUUACUUUGAAAAAAUUAGAGUGCUCAAAGCAGGCUAAAAUGCCUGAAUAUUCGUGCAUGGAAUAAUAGAAUAGGAUGUCGAUCCUAUUUUGUUGGUUUUCGGGACUCGACAUAAUGAUAAAUAGGGACAGUCGGGGGCAUUUGUAUUCAAACGACAGAGGUGAAAUUCUUGGACCGUUUGAAGACAAACUACUGCGAAAGCAUUUGCCAAGAAUGUUUUCAUUAAUCAAGAACGAAAGUUAGAGGUUCGAAGGCGAUUAGAUACCGCCCUAGUUCUAACCAUAAACGAUGCCAGCUAGCGAUCUGCCUGCGUUUUUACUGUAGACUGGGCAGGAAGCUUCCGGGAAACCAAAGCAUUUGGGUUCCAGGGGAAGUAUGGCUGCAAAGCUGAAACUUAAAGGAAUUGACGGAAGGGCACCACCAGGAGUGGAGCCUGUGGCUUAAUUUGACUCAACACGGGAA
This 597-nucleotide ribosomal RNA is filed under the name uncultured marine eukaryote. RNAcentral's name for it is "SSU rRNA". It matches the Rfam family "Eukaryotic small subunit ribosomal RNA", at positions 613 to 1211 of the family's 1831-position model. The record is from RNAcentral.